UUCACAUGUUCACAGUUGUCAAAUUCCGUAAUUGACAAUGCAUUGUCUGGUGCAUUGUAAUAAAAAAACAUAAAAACAUUAAAGACGAUCGUUUUAUUGAUAAAAUUACAGGCUUUGUGAAGUGUUGAAAAUAUCGAUCGCUUCGAAAUGAUUCCAAAUGAGAUAUUUGCCGAAGACUUGAUGAAUACGGUGAUUCGCUACGGUUUGUACAUCGGCGCUGCGUUUCAACUGUUUUGUCUGCUUGCCUGUGUUACAUUGACGGAUGAGCAAAGCGAAACUCAUCCAUAUGAAAAGUCCUACACUGACAGUGAUGAAUGCAGCUCGGAACAGUCAUCACCAGGGCACAGGGCGACCAUGUCUCGUGCCCGACGGCAUGAUAAGAAGAAACGACGUUAGAUCAAACACAUGAGUGUAAACAUUGUUAACCUUAUGGACUAAUUCAAUAUGUCCCCAUCUUCAAUUUACCCUCAAAACUGAGUUUGAUGUCUAUGAUGUAUCUUUGACUAUGGAUCUCUUAUUAUUUAUUCCAUGAUAUAAAAUCUUAUAUACAUUUAACUCCAAGGCAUUUUGAAGCCAUAAUUGUCUAAAAACGUGAAUGUGUUGCGCAUUUGGCAUAUUUGUAUUUAUAGGGUUUUGUAACCUUUAUUUUGUAUUUGGUUGGUCAAGGUUUCUUGUUAAGUAUUAUAAUACUAAUAAUACCAGCCCUAUAGUUUGUACUAUACACUGUCCCACUGCUGUGCACAAGACUUGUCUAAUACCAAGAGGGUCUAGACCUUAGUCCACCAACCAUGCUGGCCUCCUAAUGUAGGCUGGGAAACUUCACAUACCUUUGACAUUCUAAUGUAAAAUUCUCAGGUAUGUUACAUUAAUUGGUAAACAUAUUUGAAUAUUGUUUUUAUUUAAGUUCUGAUUUAAGCAUAUCUAUAUUUGCUAAUUGAAUGUAGAUACGUAAAAAGGAUCCAGCCCACAAAAUGACGCUUUGAAAUAGUGCAGAUUGAAGUUUAAAUCGUACUUUUGCUCAUUGAUAUUUCAUUUUAUAUUUCGGUAAUUGAAAGUUCAAAAUUUUUUUUUAAGAAUGGAAAAUAUAGACCUUAUAGACUAGAACUAAUUUGGCAUACUCGGCUCAUUUUCGACCAUGCUGUGGGUUAUAUCCUUUUUGCGUAUCUACAACCAAUUAUAUCUCUUACGCCUAAGUUGUAUAACCCACUGUUACAGUGAUAUUUCUAGUAAGUUUUAUAUAUUUAUAGCUAUAAUUGUGGCCGUUUAUUCCAAGGAUGUAAUAUUAUAAUAAAUAUAAUACUCAAAUAAAUGAAUCACUGUUCUCCCCAAUAUUUAUAGAUUUUUUUACAUUACUUCAUACCAAUGUUCUGUGUCAAAUUUACUGCAAAUAGGUUUGCAAUUGAUUAUACUAUGUAAUAUUUAAAUGUGUUGUAGUAAUAUUUUACACUGUAAAUUUCGUCACUAAAGAAAUAAACAAUUAUUUAAUA
Molecule: long non-coding RNA, 1487 nt
Organism: Manduca sexta (tobacco hornworm)
Lineage: Eukaryota; Metazoa; Arthropoda; Insecta; Lepidoptera; Sphingidae
Exons: 3
Source: RefSeq, a predicted model, not a curated record